Long non-coding RNA from Homo sapiens (human), 1757 nucleotides. RefSeq lists it as uncharacterized. Lineage: Eukaryota; Metazoa; Chordata; Mammalia; Primates; Hominidae. The record is from RefSeq and is marked validated. The transcript is spliced from 2 exons.
AUUAUACAAAUAGGCAGUAUACACAGUGAGCGCCCACUAAGCGCUGGGCUGGGGGCCUCCAACCCGGAACAGAAGCCGGCCACAACCCUCGCUCCCUGUCGUCGCGGCCGUUAUAGGCCGAAAGCAAAAUCCAAUCCCGGGCCAUUGUGGGCGGAUUGCCAGGACCUGGAUCGCAACACUUGGGAAGACCCCCGCCCCGCCCAGCGAUCUCCGUGCCCUGAGUCCCAGUGACGGCCCCCUGGACAGCGGAGCCUGCUGCAGCGACGCGACGCGCUGGUACAGAUCUCAAAGCAAGGCUUGUUGGACAAAUAAAUGAAGAUGAGCCCAAGAGCCCAGGAGAGGGACCGGGAACAGCAGGGCCUCCGUGACUCACACAAGCUUCAUCCCUGAACCAAGGACGCAGCCUGCCAACAAUGGCCCCAAGCCACACCCCGCCACAGGGGGAACUGAUGCUGCGGUGAGAAGUGACAGCUUUCUGUUGACUCUUUUUUUUUUCAAGCAGAAUAUGAAUUGAGACAUACUUUCAUUUUCAUAAUCAGAACCUAACACUUAGUAACCAAUGUUGGUGGAAGCAAAUGAGAUCACAGUUUGUCUGUUCCAAACUCAUCUCUGGGAAAAGGAGGAGGAAAAAUUAUUGGCACUAUGUUCAGAAUCAUAGCUGAAGAUGCAGAAAUUGUUCAUCCCAAUUUUGCCUUUGUAAGUAAUGUGGGGGCAGUUCUUAUUAGUAAUUGCCAAUCUCUACUGAGACACAGUAUUUUGCUAGGCGCUUUAUAUUCAUUUCCUGGUAUGAUCAUGACAUUAACCCUGUGAAAUGCGUACCCUUACUAUCUCCAUGUGAAGAAAUGAGGGAACUGAGGACCAGAGAGGUGAACUGACUUGUCCAAAGACACACAGUAAGGGCUGUGACUCUCCGCUUUCUAAGAUUUUUGUUCUUAUCGCUCCACAGCACAUAGCAGGCGUAGUAUGAAGGCAGCAUGCUGCACAAUUUCGCUGUUUGUUUCUUGGAAUAAUAAUUUAUAGGGGACUGCUUCUAGAUUCCAAAGGAAAGAGAAAGGAAAUAUGCCCCAAACUCAGGCUUUCAGCCUGGCCCUGCCUGACUCACUGAGCUGCAUUGGACAAAUGAUUCAUUCACUGGCCUUGACCUCAGUGGGUUUGGCCACCCAUUGAGAGUGAAGUCACACCUCCAGCACUGCGAUGCAUUUAUUGAUCCACUCACCUAGCUUCAUGGCAGGCAAGAAACAGGCCUGUGUGAGCCUGCCCAGGAUCAGGGACAGGAGAGCACACAGGUGUUUCUGGAUAUCCUCAAGCUGUAGCUGGGCUGCUCGAUUCUUCCCUAGGAGAUCCUCCGGGGGCCUGAAUUAGUUUGCUAGGGCUUCCGUAACAAAGCGCCACAGACUGAGCGGCUUAAAUAAAAAUGUGUCAUCUCAUGGUUCUGGAGGCUGGAAGUCUGAGAUCAAGGUGCUGGGGAUUAGGACUUGAACAUAUGUUUUUUGGGGGCACACUUCAACCCUCCGGAGGGCCUGUGCCCCAAAGAGAGCCUCCUUCUGUGUGCAGUGAAGGUGUGAGUUCUAAACAUGAGAAAAAAACACCCCUUGUUCUUGGAUAGGGUGACUCGAUACCACAAGCAGGUCCAACUGGCCCAGGUAAAUAUAUUCGUUUAACAUGAUCGUCACCAAAAUAUUGAGGGUAGGUGUUUUUUUCUGGAGUUAAACAAGUUGAUUCUGGAGUUGAUAUGAAAUAAUAAACAAGCAAAAAUA